RNAcentral lists this ribosomal RNA (468 nucleotides) under uncultured bacterium. RNAcentral's name for it is "partial 16S ribosomal RNA". It matches the Rfam family "Bacterial small subunit ribosomal RNA", at positions 28 to 507 of the family's 1533-position model. The record is from RNAcentral.
GAUGAACGCUGGCGGCGUGCUUAACACAUGCAAGUUGAACGGAAAGGCCCAAGCUUGCUUGGGUACUCGAGUGGCGAACGGGUGAGUAACACGUGGGUGAUCUGCCCUGCACUUCGGGAUAAGCCUGGGAAACUGGGUCUAAUACCGGAUAGGACGAUGGUUUGGAUGCCAUUGUGGAAAGUUUUUUCGGUGUGGGAUGAGCUCGCGGCCUAUCAGCUUGUUGGUGGGGUAAUGGCCUACCAAGGCGUCGACGGGUAGCCGGCCUGAGAGGGUGUACGGCCACAUUGGGACUGAGAUACGGCCCAGACUCCUACGGGAGGCAGCAGUGGGGAAUAUUGCACAAUGGGCGCAAGCCUGAUGCAGCGACGCCGCGUGGGGGAUGACGGCCUUCGGGUUGUAAACUCCUUUCGCUAGGGACGAAGCGUUUUUGUGACGGUACCUGGAGAAGAAGCACCGGCUAACUACGUG